GCUUAGGCCGCGCUCCCGGACCGCCCCGAGGAUGGGCGCCCGCGCCCCUGCAGCCGCCGGUGCGCCCGCGCGCGGCUGGCCGGACACUCCCCGCUCUGAGCGGCCCGGCCUCGGGAUCUUUUUCUUUUUCUUUCUUUUUUUUUUUUUUCCGAUUCCGUUAGUGACCCCGUUACCCGCCGCUGGGGCCUAACCCGGACUCGGAGGGCUCGCGGAUUAGCCGCCCGCCAGCCGUGGAAACGUGAUAAGAGGCGUGCGGUUUGCAGAAGGAAAUUUCUGAUGCAACUCUCCUCCUUCGCUGAUUGCCUCUGCGAACGCCGCCCGGAGAAGGCCCUGCAGCACGGGCCGUAUGGAAAUGAGGAAGGAAGCAUUGAUCUCCACAAAGUCAUGCGUUUGAUCUGCUAGAUGUUUAUUGUGAUGAAAACAGUGUUUUAAUAAAAGUUGUGUAUCCCUGAA
This is a long non-coding RNA of Myotis lucifugus (little brown bat), 453 nucleotides long. RefSeq lists it as uncharacterized. Lineage: Eukaryota; Metazoa; Chordata; Mammalia; Chiroptera; Vespertilionidae. The transcript is spliced from 2 exons. The record is from RefSeq and is a predicted model, not a curated record.